RNAcentral lists this ribosomal RNA (250 nucleotides) under uncultured soil bacterium. RNAcentral describes it as "partial 16S ribosomal RNA". It matches the Rfam family "Bacterial small subunit ribosomal RNA", at positions 26 to 285 of the family's 1533-position model. The record is from RNAcentral.
AGGAUGAACGCUGGCGGCGUGCUUAACACAUGCAAGUCACGGGGGCCCAGCAAUGGGCAACCGGCGAACGGGUGCGUAACACGUGAGCAAUCUACCGAAAUGAGGGGGAUAGCCGGCCCAACGGCCGGGUAAUACCGCAUACGCUCGAGACCAGGCAUUUGGACUCGAGGAAACCUCCGGGGCAUUUCGAGGAGCUCGCGGCCUAUCAGCUAGUUGGUGAGGUAACGGCUCACCAAGGCGACGACGGGUA